This is a long non-coding RNA of Camelus dromedarius (Arabian camel), 6458 nucleotides long. RefSeq lists it as uncharacterized. NCBI's taxonomy places the organism in Eukaryota, Metazoa, Chordata, Mammalia, Artiodactyla, Camelidae. The transcript has 4 exons. The record is from RefSeq and is a predicted model, not a curated record.
GCCCUAAGCCUCCUCAUCGCCCUCGGCCAGUGGCUGGCCACGCUGUCGGUCAGCCAGCCCCGGGAGUCGGCCGCACCCCCGCCCGCCGCCGCAUUUUCCUCAAAAACCCUUGAACCCGACCUGGAGGCGCGCGCCUACCCUUUCCCGCCUGCACUGAGCCCGCGGGCUCGGGUCCUGGAGAGGGGUCUGCCGGUGUCUGCGGCUCUGGCAGAGACUUCGGGAGCCAGCCGUCUGUCCCGGGCUCAAGUUCCUGGCUGAGUCUGGCAGCCUUUGGACCCGCCCCGGGGACAGGAGAUAAGAAUCACCCCUGGGUCUGGGAUCUGCACCCGCGUCCUAGCGCCCGCGGGGGCGUGGGCGCGGCAGCCACCUCGCGGAAUUCGCAGCCAGGAGAUGGGCCUUCUCCAGACAAUCAGGAAAGACAGCCACAUGCAUCUGACAUCCUCACGUUUUGGCAGAAGAAAGGAGAUUUUCACUAACAGAUGGGAAAAGCGAUGAGAGACAUUUCCGUCUGUAUGAAAGCUCUCAGUUGCAUUUGUGAAGAGUGGAGAUGGAGUCUGCCUCCUUUUCAGGGCCUUUGAGAAUAAACACAGCCUCUUGACCACAGCUUGAAACAUAACAUGGGUCUGAUGCAUAUUUGAAGAAUGAAUGAAUAUAUGUAUGAAUCAAUGAAGGCUGCAGAGAUAGAAUGAUGGUCUCCUGUAGAUCCUGACCAAGUAUGGCAACACAGACAAAUUAGGUAAUUGCUCGGUGCUUUAAAAAGUAAGCAAGCAAACAAACAAAUGAAGUAAGUCUCACAUUUAUUGAGUGCUGAACAUUGCAUAUAAGUGCUUUCAAUACAUUUUCUCAAUUGACCCUCGUGGACACUGUGAGGUAGGUGCUUUCCCUACUUUACAGAGGAAGAGACUGAGGUUCAGAGAGGUUAAGUACCUUGCCUAAGAUGGCACAACCAGUAUUUAAACCUGGUGUGACAAAGAUGAUAUUCUUAAUUACAGUGCUAUGUACCACUGUUUUUUAAUUUGUAAUGUCACUGUAACACUGUCUACCCCAUGAUUUUAUAACAAAAAAUGAACAGUGUAUCAGAAUCUUCAUUAAUAACUAUAAUGUUUUCAAUGACAUAUUUCUCUAUCAAAAAGUUAAAAACACAAGGUGGAAGAAAUAGAGAAGGCAUAGAGAUGCCUUCCAGUAUAUUUGAUAUGGAGAUUGUGUCAUUAAAAUAUUGUUAUAUAAUUUUAGCAAAUUUUCUGUAUAUCUAAAAUUACUCUAAAAUUAAAUUUUUAUUUAAAAAAAAUACUAUGAAGCACAUGAAAAAAAUGUUUACCUUCAUUAGUCAUUCGGGAAAUGCAAACCAAAACCACAAUGAGAUACUACUAUACCCACACUAGAUUGGGUAUAAUUUUUUUCAAUAGAAGGUAACAACUGUUGGUGCAGAUGCGAAGAAAUUAAAACACGGAUUGCUGCAAAAUGAUGCAGACACUGUGCCAAGCAGUUUUAUGGUUCUUCAGUAUGUUAAACAGAAUUACUGUAUGACCCAGCAAUUCAAUUCCUAGGUGUAUAUAUCCAAAAGAAUUGAAAACAGGUGUACAACUUGUACAUGAGUGUUCAUAGCAGCAAUAUUCACUAUAGCCAAAGAUGGAAACAACCCAAAUGUCCAUCAACAAAUUAACGUAUAAACAAAAUGCUGUUAUCCGUACAAUGGAAUAUUAUUCACCUAUAAAAAAGGAACAAAGUGUUGGUAUCUGCUAUAAGGUAGAACCUUGACAGCAUGAUGUUAAGUGAAAGAAGCCAAAUACAAAAUUCCACGUAGUGUGUGAGUCCAUUUAUAUGAAAUGUCCAGAAUAGGCACAUCUGUAGAGACAAGAAAUAAAUUAGUGGUUAUCAGGAGCUGGGGGGAAGCAGGAAGAGUGCUGGUGAAUGGCUACGGGACUUCUUGUGGGAUGAUGAAAAUGUUCUCGAACUAAAUAGUGGUUGCACAACCCUGUGGAUGUACUAAAUGCCACUGAAUUGUGUACUUUAAAAUGGUUAAAAUGGUAAACUUCAUGUGAUGUGAAUUUUAGCUAAAUUAAAAAAAAAACACUCUGACACCAUUGAAAACAGGUGAUUACUAAAAUAAUACAGAAUGUGCUGGGGUACGCAAUCCAACUUACAAAGGAAAAAAAUUUAAAUAUCACAUGAAAUACCAGCGCUCACUACAGCAUUGUAAUUUAGAGCAUGGACUGUCAGAACUGGCAGCUCUCAAAUCAAUGCCCUCUGCUGUCACAUAAUGGCUGGUUAUCCUUCAGCCAGUUUUAUAACCUGUCUGAGACUCACUGUCUUCAUUCAUAUACUGUGUGUUAUUGCUGUUAGUUAUAAUGAAAUACUUUUUAUAUAAGUUGUCACUUAGCCUAAAAAUGAUGUUGAUGAAUGUAUACUUUGUUUUUCUUUUCCCUUGUGUAUAUAUGAAUUGAGUGUUGCUAGUCUUUCCGAUGAUCAUUACAUUAGAAGCAAAGUGAUCAGGGUUUGGGGAGAUAACAAUCAUAUUUUUAUCACCAUAUGUGGCCUUCUACAACCCAGGAAAAGUAUCCUGUGAACAGAUCUUUAAAGCAGUUUCCGAAGGAGUUGAGCAGUCCGCGGUAACUAUUAUGUGAGGUGAUAUUGAAAUUAGGCUACAUUGUUGUUACAAAAAUUUCUGGGUUGGUCCCAACCUGGUACCAAGUAAAAACAGUCGUGGAAUCUGGGAAUUGCUAGGGAAGACUUUAUUAAGAAAAAAGAUACCUACUUCUCCUUCCCUUCCCCUUGAGAAUAACAAAGCUGUCACCAUGAAUAUCAAGACUGCUAUUUCUUCUUGUAUUUGCAUAUGGCAUCCUCCCAGGUAAUUUGUGGAGCAUAUCCUGACACAGCUUCGGAAGAAACCAUAUAGUUCCUUUAGUAUCAUUAGUAAUCCAAAGUCCAAAACGUUUAAAGAGGCAGAGGAAAUCCGUCUCCCAAAGGUUCAGACAGAGCACUCUCUGCUCUAUACCGUAUACAAUUCCUCCACCCACACAGCUCAGCCUCUCUCAGGGAAGAGAAAGAAACUUCUAGAACCCUGCCCUCUAACCUCUGUUCCUCAUCCUCUCAGAGUCCCCCCUGGGAGUUGAAGAAUGCGGGGAAAUAGCUGCAGGGUUUGGCUUCCAGUUGGUCAACCCUGACGCUAAUUGCUCUAUGGGAGAGUUUCAGUCUCUGCUCUUGGCAAGAAACCGUAGGACAACAAAAGCUGGCAGCUGAGUGACUGUGUGAGGAGCAGGGCGGUGGGUCUGAUGGGUAUCUGGGGAGGGAAGGCUUCAACAGAGUUUCCUUUCCUGCUGGAACAUUCACGUCCUACCAACAACUGUAACAAAGUUUGACUGGCCUCUGACCUACAGGCAAACCUCAUUUUCUUGUAUUUUUUUAUAAAUUGACCGUUUGUGACAACCCUGCCUCCAGCAAGUCUAUCGGCGCCAUUUUUCCAACAGCAUUUGCUCACGUCAAGUCUCUGUGUCACAUUUUGGUAAUUCUUGCAGUUCUUUGAUCUUUUUCACUGUUACUACAUUUGUUGUGGUGAUCUGUGACCAGCGAUCUUUGAUAUUAUUAUUGUGAUCGUUUUGCGGCACCACAAACUGUGCCCGUGUAAGGUGGUUAACUUACCUGGUAAAUGUUGUGUGUAUUCUGACAGCUCUACCAGCCUUCUGUUCCCCUAUCUCUCUCCCUCUUCUCCGGCCUCCCUGUUCCCUGAGACACAACAAUGUUGGAAUUAGGCCAGUUAAUAAUCCUACAGUGGCCUCCUGGUGUUCAAGUGAAGGGAAGAAUCUCACAUCAAUCAUUUCAAGUCAAAAGCUAGAAAUGAUUAAGCUUAGUGAGGAAGCCGUGUCGAAAGCCGAGAUAGGCCGAAAGCUAGGCCUCUUGCUCCAGUUAGCCACGUUGUGAGUGCAGAGGAAACGUUCUUAAAGAAAAUUUAAAAUGCUCCUCCAGUGAACGCACAAAUGAUAAGUCAAAGAGCUUUAUUGCUGAUACAGAGAAAGUGUUAGUGGUCUGGAUAAAAGAUCAAACCAGCCGCAACACCUCAUUCAGCCAAGGCUUUAUCCAGAGGAAGACCCUAACUCUCUUCAGUUCUAUGAAGGCUGAGAGAGGUGAGGAAACUGCAGAAGAAAAGUCUGAAGCCAGCAGUGGUUGUUCAUGAGGUUUCAGGAAAGAAACCGUCUCUAUAAAAGUGCAAGAUGCAACAGCAAGUGCCAAUGUAGAAACUGCAGCAGGUUAUCCAGAAGAUCUAGCUAAGAUAAUUCAUAAAGAUGGCUACACUAGAUGGAAGAUUUUCAGUGUAGGUGAAACAGCUGUAUAUUGGAAGAAGCCAUCUAGGACUUUCAUAGCUCGAGAGGAGAAGUCAGAGCCUGGCUUCGAAGCUUCAAAGGACAGGCUGACUCUCUUGUUACAGGCUAAUGCAGCUGAUGACUUGAGGUUUAAGCCAAUGCUCAUUUACCAUCUCGACAAUCCUAGGGCCCUCCAGAUUUAUGCUGAAUCAGCUCUGCCUGUGCUCUAUCAAUGGAACAACAAACCCUGGAUGACAACACAUCUGCUAACAACAUGUUAACAGACUAUUUUGAGGCCACUGAUGAGACUUACUGCUCAGAAAAGAUUCCUUUCAAAAUAGUACUGCUCAUUGACAAUGCACCUGGUCACCCAAGAGCUCUGAUGGAGAUGGUCAGAGAGAUUCGCAUUGUUUCCGUGCAUGCUAGCACAGACAGCAUCCAUUCUGCAGCCUACAGGUCAAGGAGUCAUCUUGACUUUCAAGUCUUAUUAGUUAAGAAAUACAUUUCAUAAGGCUAUAGCCACCAUACAUAGUGAUUCCUCUGGUGGAUCUAGGCAAAAUACAUCAAAAAGGUUCUGGAAAGGAUUCACCAUUCUAGAUGCCAUUAAGAACAUCCAUGAUUCAUGGGAAGAGGUCAAAAUAUCAAUAUUAACAGGAGUUUGGAAGAAGUUGAUUCCAACCCUCAUGGCAGACUUUGAGGGGUUCAAGACUUCAGGGGAGGAAGGAACUGCAGAUGUGGUAGAAAUAGCAAGAGAACUAGAAUUAGAGUGGGGAGCCUGAAGAUCGGACUGAAUGGCUGCAAUCUCAGGAUAAAACUUUUAACAGAUGAGCAGUGGCUUCUUAUGGAUGAGUGAAGAAAGUGGUUUCUUGAGAUACAACCCAGUCCUGGUGACAAUGCUGUCAAGAUUGUCAAAAUGACAACAAAGGAUUUAGGAUACGACAUGAACUUAGCUGAUUACAGCAGCAGCAAGUUUUGAGAAGGUUAACUCCAAUUUGAAAGAAACUCUACUGCAGCUAAAAUGCUAUCAAACAGCAUUGAGUGUUACGGAGAAUUCGUUUAUUAAAGGAAGAGUCAACUGACGUGGCAAACUUCAUUGUUUCCUUAUUUUAAGAAAUUGCCACAGUCACCUCAGCCUUCAGCAACCACCACCCUGAUCAGUCAGCAGCCAUUGACAUCAAGGCAGGAUCCCCCACCAGCAGAAAGAGGACAGCUUGCUGAAGGCUCAGGUGAUGGUUAACAUUUUUAAGCAAUCAAAUAUCUUUUAAUUAAGGUAUGUACAUUGGUUUUUUUGGACAUAAUGAUGUUGCACACUUAAUGGACUUGCAACCGUGUAAACAUAACUUUUAUAUGCUUUGGGAAACCAAAAAAUUUGUGUGACUCGCUUUAUUGCAAUGUUUGCUUUAUCGUGCAGUCUGAAACCAAACCCGCAGUGUCUCCGAGGUCUGCCUGUACUGGAUGAACGCAAAGUGGCUGAAACACCCCUUAUUUUCUGUAUACCUUAUGUGACUUCUCCAACUAUUAAAUGUCCUGUAUUUGUUUUAGUGGCACCUAUACUUUUUCAUUCAGGCAUUCAUUCACUCAAAAAUAUUUCCCUGAGUGCCUACCAUGUGCCAACAGUGUGCUAAGUACUAAGUACCGAUUCAGCCAUUCAUUCAGUGGGUAUUUAUGGGGCACCUAAUACCUAUCAGGGAGAUGAGCUUUGAAGGAAAAAGUUGUCAGCUAAAUGGACGAAAGCUGUGUUCUCAUGGAGCUUAAUUUUAGUGGAGCAAUACAGAAAUGAAGAGUCUUUGAGUAGUCGAAUUCCUUUGCAGGAUGCGGAAAAGGGAAUUGUGACACCCAGAGUUAGGCCUGUUAUUUUGUAUAAGGGAGGCAAGGCCUCAUGGAAAGUUCAUAUCUGAGCAGAAACCUAAAGGAAAUGAGAGAGUGGACCAGAUGGCUGUCCAGGAGACAGUGUUCCAGGCAGAGGGAACAGCACAGCCACAGCCAAAGGCCCUGGAGUACAGCAUGCUUGGUAUGGCAUGGAAAUACAAAGGUGAAAAGUCUAGAUACUGCUUUUACUUUCUUGGAAUGUAGAGUCUGGUUGUGGAAACAGAUAGUAAUCAGUUAUCUCCCAAACAGAUGUUUCAUUCUGAAGACCCAAUGUGCCAGGCGGGAAACACA